GGGUUCGAGGACACUGAAGUCCUCGGAGGUCAACCGGAUGGUCGGGCCGCCAUCC
This 55-nucleotide non-coding RNA is filed under the name unclassified sequences. The record is from Rfam.